UGUUCUGUGGCUUAGUUGGUUAAAGCGCCGGUCUAGCGAAUACGGAGUCGUGGGUUCGAAUCCCACCAGAAUGC
Non-coding RNA from Aedes albopictus (Asian tiger mosquito), 74 nucleotides. The record is from Rfam. Lineage: Eukaryota; Metazoa; Arthropoda; Insecta; Diptera; Culicidae.